GGUACUACCAAAAUUUUUCUUUUUCAUAACCAGCUGUGUUGGGUAGUAACGUAAGGCCGCGUGCACAUCGGAGAGCGUUGCGCGGUGAGCGAUGAGUGACGAGCGGUGAGCAGUAGUGUGUAUCAAACAGCUAGCGAUUAGCGUUGUCUGCAAUAUUUAGUAGUCCUUCAGCCAUCAUUAUGGCACUCUCCUCAAAAUGUCUGCGUAUUUUGUUACUACAAAAUGCAUUACUCCGAAAACGGUUUUUAAGGAAAAAACAAAAGCAUUGGAGUUCGCGAAAUGAACAAAAAACGAAAAACGCUAGGUGAGUUUUCAUAAUAUUUAUUGUGAACUAAGAAAAGAUCGGGAAAGGUUUUUUUUUUUAAUUUUAUUACGCAUGUCAAUGGAAACUUUUGAUUUUUUUGUAAUCAGGGUGUCUCGAUCACUCCACAAGAGAGGUCUUGAUUGGAUUUCGGAAAUCAAAAGUUUUCGUUGCUCUAUAGAAAAAUUCACUUUCGAGCUCAUGAUGGUGUGUUAACGCUGGUCGACACCGCUCACAAUUCGAGACGACUUGAAAAAUAAACAUCAUAUCGCGCACCGCGCAUCGCCAACGCCCAAGGUCAGCGUACACGGUUCCGUUAAAAUUCCCGUGUUUGAUUUAUUUUCGUCAACGCUCGUCGCUCAUAGCUCACCGCGCAACACUCUCCAUUGCGCACGCACGCAAAUGGAAGACGUAUAACAUUGUAAUGCGCCAGGAUUGUUUACAAGCGACGAAAAUGCAAUGGAAAUUAAGCGUGUGUUAUAAACAUUAGUGUUUGAUUUUUGCGGUUCGAAACACGGCGAAAUUAUUUUUUAUAGUACCCACUAACGAUCGACAAAUCUAAAUAAUAUUAUUAUGAUUAUAGUAUUAUAGAUUUAUAGCCAUUCGUGAGAAACAGAAAAACAGUUUAUUUUUAUAAAUUAUUAUUAAUGCACUUACCAUCAAUAAAUGAACACGG
This is a non-coding RNA of Cinara cedri, 977 nucleotides long. The record is from the annotation of a GenBank genome assembly. Lineage: Eukaryota; Metazoa; Arthropoda; Insecta; Hemiptera; Aphididae.